UUGCGGUGGGAGGAAAGUCCGGGCAGCACGAGCCGCCAUGCUUCCUAACGGGAAGAGGCCGGGAAGGUAACGAUCCGGUCAUAGCAAGCGCCACAGAGAACAUACCGCCUCUUUUUAGAGGUAAGGGUGAAAACGCGGGGUAAGAGCCCACGACGUGACCUGGUGACAGGCAUGAUGGCAAGCCUCAUGGGCUGAAAGACCAUGUAUACCGACAGAUUAAGGGCAGGCUCGCUCUUUUUUGGCGAAAGUCGAAAAUGUCGGGGGGUAGGUUGAUAGAGGCCGCCGGUGACGACGGCAGUAGAUUAAUGAUAGAACACGACAGAACCCGGCUUAUAGGCGCGCUA
This 344-nucleotide RNase P RNA is filed under the name bovine gut metagenome. Its description in RNAcentral is "Bacterial RNase P class A". It matches the Rfam family "Bacterial RNase P class A", at positions 34 to 361 of the family's 367-position model. Rfam says of the family: Ribonuclease P (RNase P) is a ubiquitous endoribonuclease, found in archaea, bacteria and eukarya as well as chloroplasts and mitochondria. Its best characterised activity is the generation of mature 5'-ends of tRNAs by cleaving the 5'-leader elements of precursor-tRNAs. Cellular RNase Ps are ribonucleoproteins. The record is from RNAcentral.